This 70-nucleotide transfer RNA is filed under the name Scleropages formosus (Asian bonytongue). RNAcentral's name for it is "tRNA-Glu". Lineage: Eukaryota; Metazoa; Chordata; Actinopteri; Osteoglossiformes; Osteoglossidae. The record is from RNAcentral.
GUAGGUGAUGUAGUGGUUAGCACUGUUAACUUUCAAUGAGUAGGUCCUGGGUUCAAAUCCUGGACUUACC